Molecule: long non-coding RNA, 920 nt
Organism: Dermacentor albipictus
Lineage: Eukaryota; Metazoa; Arthropoda; Arachnida; Ixodida; Ixodidae
Source: RefSeq, a predicted model, not a curated record
UCCAGCAAUUCAUGCGACACCUAGCGGCAGUAGGGAGAAACGAAAUACGGAGGUCCAGUCGCCGUGUGUGCCGUAGAGGCUGCUGUCGCGGACGGAAGAAUGAAGCUGCUAGCAAAGAAAAAGCGAACGGCCAAGCAGUUCUGCUGUGUUCCUCGGUGCGUGCCAGCGAGAUGGAAGGACAGCGAUAUUUCCGUUCACGCACUUCCCUCCGAGUGGAAAGGCUGAAGCCGCAGAACCAGGUGGAUCGCUAACCUCCGCAUCGGCAAGGCUGUGACGCUUACAGUGACUGUUUGCUCACGGCAUUUUGCACGGGAUAAUUUCUCCUUACCAGAUGUAGCAUGUCAAAGACAGCGGCUGAAAAAAAUGCAGUACCAACUGAAAACCUGCCAAGGACGUCAUGUUAUGAUGAGAACAAGGAUGCUCAUAUGAAAGAGCUUUCACUGGCAAGACUUCGCCGACGUGUGUAUCGGUCAGCCAGAAAUGAAUCAAGCAAAGAAACUGUUGCCUCCCCAUUAGAAGCAAAGGUGUUGCCCCAUGCACCUGUCAGCACGACCACUAUGGUAAAUUGGCUGCCUGCAACUUGUGCACACAUUGCUUCACCACUAAUUCCUUGGGAUUAAACUCUGACAUUGCAGGACGAUCUCCCAUCCCCUGACCGCAACAGCAUGGACCAAAUAAGUGACAAAGGAAAUAUGGUAAUUUCUUUUUGUAUAUGUAUGUGUUGUGGUAGCUGUCUUUACCUAGACGGUGGCAUGCUUUCUGGAUUUACAUCGUAAAAGCAUUGUAGCACGUGGUGUGUGAUGGGUGCACAUUAAUUGCAACUUGUGCACACAUUGCUUAACCACUGGUUUCUUGAACUGAACUCUGUCUGACAUUGCAGGACGAUUUCCCAUCCCCUAACAGCACGGACCAAAGCCUUG